This is a small nucleolar RNA of Melitaea cinxia (Glanville fritillary), 133 nucleotides long. NCBI's taxonomy places the organism in Eukaryota, Metazoa, Arthropoda, Insecta, Lepidoptera, Nymphalidae. The record is from RefSeq and is a predicted model, not a curated record.
AAGUGGCCCGAUCGAAGCUGACUGAAGUCACAAUACUUUACGUCAGUCAAAACGAGGCCGACAUCGAUGUUUUGACAAAAGGUCGCGUUCUGUUCUCAUUGUUCAUAGCGCAUCACCCAUGUCAAAUACAUUU